CCCACACCUUUUCCUCUUCUUCUUGGCCGGGUUGGCUCCGCCAGCUCCCCCCGAGGAGGACGAGGAGGAGGAGGAAUGA
This is a microRNA precursor of Balaenoptera musculus (blue whale), 79 nucleotides long. Lineage: Eukaryota; Metazoa; Chordata; Mammalia; Artiodactyla; Balaenopteridae. The record is from Ensembl.